AUGUAGUGCCUGAGUUUAAAAGGGUGAUCUUGAUAGGAUCAAUCAUGUGUAUGACACCUUCAUAA
RNAcentral lists this transfer RNA (65 nucleotides) under Mandarella flaviventris. RNAcentral's name for it is "tRNA-Ile". The record is from RNAcentral. Lineage: Eukaryota; Metazoa; Arthropoda; Insecta; Coleoptera; Chrysomelidae.